Molecule: ribosomal RNA, 1346 nt
Filed under: uncultured bacterium
Lineage: Bacteria
Description: partial 16S ribosomal RNA
Rfam family: Bacterial small subunit ribosomal RNA
Source: RNAcentral
GACGAACGCUGGCGGCGUGCUUAACACAUGCAAGUCGAACGGAAAGGCCCUGCUUUUGUGGGGUGCUCGAGUGGCGAACGGGUGAGUAACACGUGAGUAACCUGCCCUUGACUUUGGGAUAACUUCAGGAAACUGGGGCUAAUACCGGAUAGGAGCUCCUGCUGCAUGGUGGGGGUUGGAAAGUUUCGGCGGUUGGGGAUGGACUCGCGGCUUAUCAGCUUGUUGGUGGGGUAGUGGCUUACCAAGGCUUUGACGGGUAGCCGGCCUGAGAGGGUGACCGGCCACAUUGGGACUGAGAUACGGCCCAGACUCCUACGGGAGGCAGCAGUGGGGAAUAUUGCACAAUGGGCGGAAGCCUGAUGCAGCAACGCCGCGUGCGGGAUGACGGCCUUCGGGUUGUAAACCGCUUUCGCCUGUGACGAAGCGUGAGUGACGGUAAUGGGUAAAGAAGCACCGGCUAACUACGUGCCAGCAGCCGCGGUGAUACGUAGGGUGCGAGCGUUGUCCGGAUUUAUUGGGCGUAAAGGGCUCGUAGGUGGUUGAUCGCGUCGGAAGUGUAAUCUUGGGGCUUAACCCUGAGCGUGCUUUCGAUACGGGUUGACUUGAGGAAGGUAGGGGAGAAUGGAAUUCCUGGUGGAGCGGUGGAAUGCGCAGAUAUCAGGAGGAACACCAGUGGCGAAGGCGGUUCUCUGGGCCUUUCCUGACGCUGAGGAGCGAAAGCGUGGGGAGCGAACAGGCUUAGAUACCCUGGUAGUCCACGCUGUAAACGGUGGGUACUAGGUGUGGGGUCCAUUCCACGGGUUCCGUGCCGUGGCUAACGCUUUAAGUACCCCGCCUGGGGAGUACGGCCGCAAGGCUAAAACUCAAAGGAAUUGACGGGGCCCCGCACAAGCGGCGGAGCAUGCGGAUUAAUUCGAUGCAACGCGUAGAACCUUACCUGGGUUUGACAUGGAUCGGGAGUGCUCAGAGAUGGGUGUGCCUCUUUUGGGGUCGGUUCACAGGUGGUGCAUGGCUGUCGUCAGCUCGUGUCGUGAGAUGCUGGGUUAAGUCCCGCAACGAGCGCAACCCUUGUUCACUGUUGCCAGCACGUUAUGGUGGGGACUCAGUGGAGACCGCCGGGGUCAACUCGGAGGAAGGUGGGGAUGACGUCAAGUCAUCAUGCCCCUUAUGUCCAGGGCUUCACGCAUGCUACAAUGGCUGGUACAGAGAGUGGCGAGCCUGUGAGGGUGAGCGAAUCUCGGAAAGCCGGUCUCAGUUCGGAUUGGGGUCUGCAACUCGACCUCAUGAAGUCGGAGUCGCUAGUAAUCGCAGAUCAGCAACGCUGCGGUGAAUACGUUCCCGGGGCU